UACGGAAGGCAGCAGUGGGGAAUAUUGCACAAUGGGCGAAAGCCUGAUGCAGCUAUGCCGCGUGUAUGAAGAAGGCCUUAGGGUUGUAAAGUACUUUCAUCGGGGAGGAAAAAACAAAACUAAUAAUUUUAUUUCUUGACGUUACCCGAAAAAGAAGCACCGGCUAACUCCGUGCCAGCAACCGCGGUAAUACGGAGGGUGCUAGCGUUAAUCAGAAUUACUGGGCGUAAAGAGCACGUAGGUGGUUUUUUUUAAGUCAGAUGUGAAAUCCCUGGGCUUAACCUGGAACUGCAUUUUGAAACUGAAAUACUAGAGUAUCGUAGAGGGAGGUAGAAUUCUAGGUGUAGCGGUGAAAUGCGUAGAUAUCUGGAGGAAUACCUGUGGCGAAAGCGGCCUCCUAAACGAAUACUGACACUGAGGGUGCGAAAGCGUGGGGAGCAAACAGGGAUUAGAUACC
Molecule: ribosomal RNA, 457 nt
Filed under: uncultured bacterium
Lineage: Bacteria
Description: bacterial SSU rRNA
Rfam family: Bacterial small subunit ribosomal RNA
Source: RNAcentral